Molecule: ribosomal RNA, 492 nt
Filed under: uncultured bacterium
Lineage: Bacteria
Description: partial 16S ribosomal RNA
Rfam family: Bacterial small subunit ribosomal RNA
Source: RNAcentral
AGUGAACGCUGGCGGUAGGCCUAACACAUGCAAGUCGAACGGCAGCACAGUAAGAGCUUGCUCUUACGGGUGGCGAGUGGCGGACGGGUGAGGAAUACAUCGGAAUCUACUUUUUCGUGGGGGAUAACGUAGGGAAACUUACGCUAAUACCGCAUACGACCUACGGGUGAAAGCAGGGGGUCUUCGGACCUUGCGCGAUUGAAUGAGCCGAUGUCGGAUUAGCUAGUUGGCGGGGUAAAGGCCCACCAAGGCGACGAUCCGUAGCUGGUCUGAGAGGAUGAUCAGCCACACUGGAACUGAGACACGGUCCAGACUCCUACGGGAGGCAGCAGUGGGGAAUAUUGGACAAUGGGCGCAAGCCUGAUCCGGCCAUACCGCGUGGGUGAAGAAGGCCUUCGGGUUGUAAAGCCCUUUUGUUGGGAAAGAAAAGCAGCAGGUUAAUACCCCGCUGUUCUGACGGUACCCAAAGAAUAAGCACCGGCUAACUUCGUG